GUCCAGCCUGCACUCAGGGGAAGGAGGAGGCGCGGGCGGCGGGGAGGCGCGGGAGGCCGGGCCGGGACACAAGCCCGCCGGCGGCCGCGGCUCCUCCCCGCCCCGCGCGCCCCGAUUGGCCUGGCCGCGCGCCAGGGCCGAGCCUGCAGCGCCUCCGGUUAUAAGUUGAAGAAAUAAGACCAGUUUCCAAAUAAAUGACAAAGAGCUUGGUAUUCCUGCAGGCAUCAGAAUCACCUGGAGGAGGAGAUGCUGCUGCUGGUGGUGGCCCAGAGACCACACAUUGAGAACCACUGCUCUAGAAAACCAUUUGUCUUUGCUGAUGGAGAAACCUGGCUCUAAUAGAAGGGCUUGUAUGUGUCCAGGAAGUCUAGUGAAUUCGACCAUGAAUCCAGACAUGGCCAGUGGCUAAAUCCUGUGGGAAGACACUGUGCUUCUCUCUGACCCAUGAACACUCUGCUAGUCAAGCUCUCUGUCACAAAGACAACUUGAAGAGACAGAGUGGACCUCACAGAAGAUACCAUCGUCACUCUUACCAAUGCAACUGUGGUGAACAGGACCACUAUUAUUCCUUAGAUCAAAAGGACAGCACAUUCAACAGCAUCCUCAUGGCAUGCCAGCAAUUUGCAUAGGAUGUUCACAAUUAAACUUUGAUUAUCUAGUGCUUUGUGGAUGUAUUAUGUAUUACAGAAAUCUAUUUGCAA
This 701-nucleotide long non-coding RNA is filed under the name Homo sapiens (human). Its description in RNAcentral is "non-protein coding LINC01607:3". Lineage: Eukaryota; Metazoa; Chordata; Mammalia; Primates; Hominidae. The record is from RNAcentral.